AGGAUGAACGCUGGCGGCGUGCCUAAUACAUGCAAGUCGAGCGAACAGAUGAGAAGCUUGCUUCUCUGAUGUUAGCGGCGGACGGGUGAGUAACACGUGGGUAACCUACCUAUAAGACUGGGAUAACUCCGGGAAACCGGGGCUAAUACCGGAUAACAUAUUGAACCGCAUGGUUCAAUGUUGAAAGACGGUUUCGGCUGUCACUUAUAGAUGGACCCGCGCCGUAUUAGCUAGUUGGUAAGGUAACGGCUUACCAAGGCAACGAUACGUAGCCGACCUGAGAGGGUGAUCGGCCACACUGGAACUGAGACACGGUCCAGACUCCUACGGGAGGCAGCAGUAGGGAAUCUUCCGCAAUGGGCGAAAGCCUGACGGAGCAACGCCGCGUGAGUGAUGAAGGUCUUAGGAUCGUAAAACUCUGUUGUUAGGGAAGGACAAAUUUGUUAGUAACUGAACAAGUCUUGACGGUACCUAACCAGAAAGCCACGGCUAACUACGUGCCAGCAGCCGCGGCAAUACGUAGGUGGCAAGCGUUAUCCGGAAUUAUUGGGCGUAAAGCGCGCGUAGGCGGUUUCUUAAGUCUGAUGUGAAAGCCCACGGCUCAACCGUGGAGGGUCAUUGGAAACUGGGGAACUUGAGUGCAGAAGAGGAGAGUGGAAUUCCAUGUGUAGCGGUGAAAUGCGCAGAGAUAUGGAGGAAGACCAGUGGCGAAGGCGGCUCUCUGGUCUGUAACUGACGCUGAUGUGCGANAGCGUGNGGAUCAAACAGGAUUAGAUACCCUGGUAGUCCACGCCGUANACGAUGAGUGCUAAGUGUUAGGGGGUUUCCGCCCCUUAGUGCUGCAGCUAACGCAUUAAGCACUCCCGCCUGGGGAGUACGACCCCAAGGUUGAACUCAAAGGAAUUGACGGGGACCCGCACAAGCGGUGGAGCAUGUGGUUAAUUCGAAGCAACGCGAAGAACCUUACCAAAUCUUGACAUCCUUUGAUCGCUCUAGAGAUAGAGUUUUCCCCUUCGGGGGACAAAGUGACAGGUGGUGCAUGGUUGUCGUCAGCUCGUGUCGUGAGAUGUUGGGUUAAGUCCCGCAACGAGCGCAACCCUUAAGCUUAGUUGCCAUCAUUAAGUUGGGCACUCUAGGUUGACUGCCGGUGACAAACCGGAGGAAGGUGGGGAUGACGUCAAAUCAUCAUGCCCCUUAUGAUUUGGGCUACACACGUGCUACAAUGGAUAAUACAAAGGGCAGCGAACCCGCGAGGUCAAGCAAAUCCCAUAAAAUUAUUCUCAGUUCGGAUUGUAGUCUGCAACUCGACUACAUGAAGCUGGAAUCGCUAGUAAUCGUAGAUCAGCAUGCUACGGUGAAUACGUUCCCGGGUCUUGUACACACCGCCCGUCACACCACGAGAGUUUGUAACACCCGAAGCCGGUGGAGUAACAUUUUAUUAGGAGCUAGCCGUCGAAGGUGGGACAG
RNAcentral lists this ribosomal RNA (1467 nucleotides) under uncultured bacterium. RNAcentral describes it as "bacterial SSU rRNA". It matches the Rfam family "Bacterial small subunit ribosomal RNA". The record is from RNAcentral.